CCUAAUUACUCCUGUAAAUCGCUCUGGAUAAGAGCGUCUGCUAAAUGACAUAAA
Molecule: non-coding RNA, 54 nt
Organism: Salmo salar (Atlantic salmon)
Lineage: Eukaryota; Metazoa; Chordata; Actinopteri; Salmoniformes; Salmonidae
Source: Rfam